UGCUGAGCAAAUCGGGUGCGUUGCGAAAAAAAUAAUGUGAUGUGGUGAUGUUACUGAAUUUUAUUAGUUCACUCAUAGUUACAAACAUUUUAAACUGUUGAAUGUACAAAAAUCAGGAUAAUGGAUUCCUAUUCGAAAUAUAAUGCCGACGCUAACUUGUUCAUUAAGAAUCUGAAUAGCUGCAUUGAGGAUGCUCAACUAUACUCAGAAUUUUCAAAAUUUGGAACAAUUAUAUCGGCCAGAAUUAUGCGGAAUGAAGAUCGCAGCUCGAAAGGUUUUGGAUUUGUUCUGUUCACGACGGCUUUUGCUGCGAGAACAGCAAUUUCCGAAAUGAAUGGACGAAUUUUGGCUGGAAAACCUAUAUACGUUGCUAUCGCCCAGCGCAAGGAUGAACGAAAAUUGUUGCUACAGAAACAAUUUAAUAAGGCAAAAGAGGCUGAUAUGGAAUUGGAAGAGAUGGUUCCUACAGGUAAUUCAGAAUUUCUCAAGCGUCGAAUUUUAAAUGCCACAGCGCUUACUGAAGAACCGUCGGCUAGACAAAUUAAACAUUCCAUGGUAAAAAAACUAAGGAUUGGUGUGAUUUAUCCAAAGAUUGCAGAUAAAAUUGAAAAUGUUUUGAUUGAAUUAGGGGGAGCAGAGCUCUCUCGUAUGAUUUCAAAUCCUGAUCUUGCCAAGAAAAAAAUUGACGGUAUUGCGCUUGGGAUAUAUACUCACUGCAAGCGCUGAGGAUUGUGGACAAUCUUGAGAAAAAACUACAUCUAAAUCUGAAGACUGUAAAUUUGAAUCGAACAUCAUUUGAAACCCAUGUUACUUUGUUAUAGAAAGUAUGUUUAAAUAAAAACCUGAUUAAAUCGGAAA
Wyeomyia smithii (pitcher-plant mosquito) is the source of this 858-nucleotide long non-coding RNA. RefSeq lists it as uncharacterized. The record is from RefSeq and is a predicted model, not a curated record. NCBI's taxonomy places the organism in Eukaryota, Metazoa, Arthropoda, Insecta, Diptera, Culicidae. The transcript has 2 exons.